This 442-nucleotide ribosomal RNA is filed under the name uncultured bacterium. RNAcentral describes it as "partial 16S ribosomal RNA". It matches the Rfam family "Bacterial small subunit ribosomal RNA", at positions 338 to 795 of the family's 1533-position model. The record is from RNAcentral.
CCUACGGGAGGCAGCAGUGGGGGAUAUUGGACAAUGGGGGGAACCCUGAUCCAGCGACGCCGCGUGAGUGAAGAAGUAUCUCGGUAUGUAAAGCUCUAUCAGCAGGGAAGAAGAAAUGACGGUACCUGACCAAGAAGCCCCGGCUAACUACGUGCCAGAAGCCGCGGUAAUACGUAGGGGGCAAGCGUUAUCCGGAAUUACUGGGGGUAAAGGGAGCGUAGACGGCUGUGCAAGUCUGGAGUGAAAGGCGGGGGCCCAACCCCCGGACUGCUCUGGAAACUGGAUGGCUGGAGUGCAGGAGAGGUAAGCGGAAUUCCUAUUGUAGCGGUGAAAUGCGUAGAUAUUAGGAGGAACACCAGUGGCGAAGGCGGCUUACUGGACUGUAACUGACGUUGAGGCUCGAAAGCGUGGGGAGCAAACAGGAUUAGAUACCCCAGUAGUC